AGUCGAGCGAGUCUGCCUUGAAGAUCGGAGUGCUUGCACUCUGUGAAACAAGAUACAGGCUAGCGGCGGACGGGUGAGUAACACGUGGGUAACCUGCCCAAGAGAUCGGGAUAACACCUGGAAACAGAUGCUAAUACCGGAUAACAACAGAUGAUGCCUAUCAACUGUUUAAAAGAUGGUUCUGCUAUCACUCUUGGAUGGACCUGCGGUGCAUUAGCUAGUUGGUAGGGUAACGGCCUACCAAGGCGAUGAUGCAUAGCCGAGUUGAGAGACUGAUCGGCCACAUUGGGACUGAGACACGGCCCAAACUCCUACGGGAGGCAGCAGUAGGGAAUCUUCCACAAUGGACGCAAGUCUGAUGGAGCAACGCCGCGUGAGUGAAGAAGGGCUUCGGCUCGUAAAGCUCUGUUGUUGGUGAAGAAGGACAGGGGUAGUAACUGACCUUUGUUUGACGGUAAUCGAUUAGAAAGUCACGGCUAACUACGUGCCAGCAGCCGCGGUAAUACGUAGGUGGCAAGCGUUGUCCGGAUUUAUUGGGCGUAAAGCGAGUGCAGGCGGCUCGAUAAGUCUGAUGUGAAAGCCUUUGGCUCAACCGGAGAAUUGCAUCAGAAACUGUCGAGCUUGAGUACAGAAGAGGAGAGUGGAACUCCAUGUGUAGCGGUGAAAUGCGUAGAUAUAUGGAAGAACACCGGUGGCGAAGGCGGCUCUCUGGUCUGUUACUGACGCUGAGGCUCGAAAGCAUGGGUAGCGAACAGGAUUAGAUACCCUGGUAGUCCAUGCCGUAAACGAUGAGUGCUAAGUGUUGGGAGGUUUCCGCCUCUCAGUGCUGCAGCUAACGCAUUAAGCACUCCGCC
This 854-nucleotide ribosomal RNA is filed under the name uncultured bacterium. Its description in RNAcentral is "bacterial SSU rRNA". It matches the Rfam family "Bacterial small subunit ribosomal RNA", at positions 60 to 873 of the family's 1533-position model. The record is from RNAcentral.